UGCAGCAUAAUUGGCUUAAUUCCCCAGAGACUAAGACUCAGAACAAGUUUUCAAAGUUGAAACAAAAGUGGUGCAAGAAAUCCUUUUCUCUUUCACUUUAGCACACAGAGCACCUCACCACAGAUGGAUUUGCCUGGGAAGACUCAGCUAUGAAAAGUGUUUUAGAGCCCCUGAGUGGACCCAGCCCCACAGCUCUACUCUGAAGAAAGGUGACGGUUGUCCUUCCCUGACUACCCAAACAAACAGGCUCUAUGUGGUAUUGAAUACAUGAUAUUUGGAUUUGAGUAGGUAUGUUUAAAAUGUCCUCUGAAUGAAGCAAAACAAUGCAAGGAGGGACAAGAAAUCUCUAACAGAAUAGGUGAGUGGUUACAAUCAUGACUGAUUUCUGGAGUGUAUCUGAUACCUAAACAGUUUUUACUCAUUUUUAUUCUGCUCCUUUUCAUCCGCACCCUGUGGCAAGGCAUCUUACAAACGUCUCAUGGGCUGUUUGAAAGUUGUGUUCGUGACAAACUGAG
This 515-nucleotide long non-coding RNA is filed under the name Gallus gallus (chicken). RNAcentral's name for it is "lncRNA (ENSGALG00010019974.1)". The record is from RNAcentral. Lineage: Eukaryota; Metazoa; Chordata; Aves; Galliformes; Phasianidae.